GGAGACGUAUCGAAGUGGUUGUAACGAGCCGCACUCGAAAUGCGGUUGUCGGGUAACCGGCACGUGGGUUCGAAUCCCACCGUCUCCGCUA
RNAcentral lists this transfer RNA (91 nucleotides) under Hungatella hathewayi. RNAcentral describes it as "tRNA-Ser". It matches the Rfam family "tRNA". Rfam says of the family: Transfer RNA (tRNA) molecules are approximately 80 nucleotides in length. RNAcentral also lists the same sequence under 2 other names. The record is from RNAcentral. Lineage: Bacteria; Bacillati; Bacillota; Clostridia; Lachnospirales; Lachnospiraceae.